AAGCGGGAAGCGCGCCUCAAGAUGAGAUCUCCCGGGAGCUUGACUCCCCUGAAGGAACCAUCAAGACCAGGUGGUUGAUAGGCUGGGUGUGUAAGUACAGCAAUGUAUUGAGCUAACCAGUACUAAUGAUCCGUGCGGCUUGACCAUAUAACCUCA
This 156-nucleotide ribosomal RNA is filed under the name Luteimonas sp. 100069. Its description in RNAcentral is "partial 23S ribosomal RNA". It matches the Rfam family "Bacterial large subunit ribosomal RNA", at positions 2783 to 2925 of the family's 2925-position model. The record is from RNAcentral. Lineage: Bacteria; Pseudomonadati; Pseudomonadota; Gammaproteobacteria; Lysobacterales; Lysobacteraceae.